UCCUUCUUGACAGGCUGAUUUAGGGG
RNAcentral lists this non-coding RNA (26 nucleotides) under Homo sapiens (human). Lineage: Eukaryota; Metazoa; Chordata; Mammalia; Primates; Hominidae. The record is from RNAcentral.